RNAcentral lists this ribosomal RNA (465 nucleotides) under uncultured bacterium. RNAcentral's name for it is "bacterial SSU rRNA". It matches the Rfam family "Bacterial small subunit ribosomal RNA", at positions 339 to 796 of the family's 1533-position model. The record is from RNAcentral.
CUACGGGAGGCAGCAGUGGGGAAUCUUCCGCAAUGGACGAAAGUCUGACGGAGCAACGCCGCGUGAGUGAUGAAGGUCUUCGGAUUGUAAAGCUCUGUUAAUCGGGACGAAAGAGCCUAGUGUGAAUAAUGCUAGGAAGUGACGGUACCGGAAUAGAAAGCCACGGCUAACUACGUGCCAGCAGCCGCGGUAAUACGUAGGUGGCAAGCGUUGUCCGGAAUUAUUGGGCGUAAAGCGCGCGCAGGCGGAUCUGCCAGUCUGUCUUAAAAGUUCGGGGCUUAACCCCGUGAUGGGAUGGAAACUACAGAUCUAGAGUAUCGGAGAGGAAAGUGGAAUUCCUAGUGUAGCGGUGAAAUGCGUAGAUAUUAGGAAGAACACCAGUGGCGAAGGCGACUUUCUGGACGAAAACUGACGCUGAGGCGCGAAAGCCAGGGGAGCGAACGGGAUUAGAAACCCUUGUAAUCC